Molecule: ribosomal RNA, 465 nt
Filed under: Vreelandella stevensii
Lineage: Bacteria; Pseudomonadati; Pseudomonadota; Gammaproteobacteria; Oceanospirillales; Halomonadaceae
Description: partial 16S ribosomal RNA
Rfam family: Bacterial small subunit ribosomal RNA
Source: RNAcentral
CCUACGGGAGGCAGCAGUGGGGAAUAUUGGACAAUGGGGGGAACCCUGAUCCAGCCAUGCCGCGUGUGUGAAGAAGGCCCUCGGGUUGUAAAGCACUUCCAGUGAGGAAGAACGCCUGGUGGUUAAUACCCAUCAGGAAAGACAUCACUCACAGAAGAAGCACCGGCUAACUCCGUGCCAGCAGCCGCGGUAAUACGGAGGGUGCGAGCGUUAAUCGGAAUUACUGGGCGUAAAGCGCGCGUAGGUGGCUUGAUAAGCCGGUUGUGAAAGCCCCGGGCUCAACCUGGGAACGGCAUCCGGAACUGUCAAGCUAGAGUGCAGGAGAGGAAGGUAGAAUUCCCGGUGUAGCGGUGAAAUGCGUAGAGAUCGGGAGGAAUACCAGUGGCGAAGGCGGCCUUCUGGACUGACACUGACACUGAGGUGCGAAAGCGUGGGUAGCAAACAGGAUUAGAUACCCUGGUAGUC